RNAcentral lists this transfer RNA (73 nucleotides) under Actinomadura rudentiformis. Its description in RNAcentral is "tRNA-Met". It matches the Rfam family "tRNA". Rfam says of the family: Transfer RNA (tRNA) molecules are approximately 80 nucleotides in length. Their secondary structure includes four short double-helical elements and three loops (D, anti-codon, and T loops). The record is from RNAcentral. Lineage: Bacteria; Bacillati; Actinomycetota; Actinomycetes; Streptosporangiales; Thermomonosporaceae.
GCCGGGUACGGAGGCUGGUGCUUCCGGUGGCUUCAUAUCCCACAUCAGGCAGGUUCGAUUCCUGCACCCGGUA